This 324-nucleotide ribosomal RNA is filed under the name Triticum aestivum (bread wheat). RNAcentral's name for it is "partial small subunit ribosomal RNA". Lineage: Eukaryota; Viridiplantae; Streptophyta; Magnoliopsida; Poales; Poaceae. The record is from RNAcentral.
AUGAGGACAGCAACGCGGGGAGGGAGCGACGACGGCAACGACGAGCGACGGCGACGCGAGGAGGGCGGCGCGUCGACGGCAACGACAACCGACGGUCGAGUUGGGAAUAGGAACAGGUGUGGCAGAACGACAUCGACCUCCUCAAGCCGUCGGCGGGUCCAGAGAAGCUCAACUCAUUCCUCAUGGUGCGUUGUUAAACCUUGUCGAGGGAGGCGGUGGCGACUGGUGGUGCGAAGCCGAUCCUCCACAAGGGCUUCUCCAUGCUGCUACGCUCUCCCGUCGGUCUCUUCUUGCCUUCGCUCAGGCAGGCGCCGACGGGGCUGA